Molecule: small nuclear RNA, 135 nt
Organism: Ailuropoda melanoleuca (giant panda)
Lineage: Eukaryota; Metazoa; Chordata; Mammalia; Carnivora; Ursidae
Gene: U4
Rfam family: U4 spliceosomal RNA
About the family: U4 small nuclear RNA (U4 snRNA) is a component of the major U2-dependent spliceosome.
Source: Ensembl
AGCUUUGCACAGUGGCAGUAUCAUAGCCAAUGAGGUUCAUCUGAGGUGCGAUUAUUGCUAAUUGAAAGCUCUUCACAGAUCGAAGAGGUUUCUGUUUACGCCAGUUUGCUAAGAACUUUUGUCAGGCAUGGGUGU